This 118-nucleotide ribosomal RNA is filed under the name Marmota marmota marmota (Alpine marmot). Lineage: Eukaryota; Metazoa; Chordata; Mammalia; Rodentia; Sciuridae. The record is from RNAcentral.
GUCUGCGGCCAUUCCACCCUGAAUGCACCCGCUCUCAUCUGACCUAAGCAACUAAGCAAGGUCAGCCCUGGUUAGGACUUAGAUGAGAGUACUGGCUUUAUUUCUGGCUUCCUAAACC